Molecule: ribosomal RNA, 134 nt
Filed under: Alphaproteobacteria bacterium
Lineage: Bacteria; Pseudomonadati; Pseudomonadota; Alphaproteobacteria
Description: partial 23S ribosomal RNA
Rfam family: Bacterial large subunit ribosomal RNA
Source: RNAcentral
UCUAAGCGGGAAGCCCCCCUCGAAACCAGGUCUCGCUUGAGAGCCGUGGAAGACCACCACGUUGAUAGGCCGGGUGUGGAAGUGCAGCAAUGCAUGAAGCUAACCGGUACUAAUCGCUCGAUAGGCUUGAUCGC